Molecule: long non-coding RNA, 366 nt
Organism: Oryzias melastigma (Indian medaka)
Lineage: Eukaryota; Metazoa; Chordata; Actinopteri; Beloniformes; Adrianichthyidae
Exons: 4
Source: RefSeq, a predicted model, not a curated record
ACAGAGAUCUGGAUCUGAAUCCAGCUGUGUGUCCUUCAGGAGUGACAUAUCAAAGGGUCGUGGUCCUGACUUCGAGUCCAUCAGUCCUGGAGUGGAACAGUUCCAACAGAGAUCUGAAUCUGAAUCCAGCUGUGUGUCCAACAGGAGUGAUGACUCAAAGCAUCAUAAUCCUGUCUUCAAGUCCAUCAGUCCAGGAGUGGAACAGUUCCAACAGAGAUCUGAAUCUAGAUCCAGCUGUGUGUCCAAAAGGAGUGACGACUCAAAGCAUCAUAAUCCUGUCUUCAAGUCCAUCAGUUCAGCAGUGGAACAAGUGGACCAGCAGAGCUCAGAGACUCCCAGUGGUCCGUCUGUCCAGCAGCAUCAAAC